Molecule: ribosomal RNA, 253 nt
Filed under: uncultured bacterium
Lineage: Bacteria
Description: partial 16S ribosomal RNA
Rfam family: Bacterial small subunit ribosomal RNA
Source: RNAcentral
UACGUAGGGUGCAAGCGUUGUCCGGAAUUAUUGGGCGUAAAGGGCUCGUAGGCGGUCUGUCACGUCGGGAGUGAAAACUCGGGGCUUAACCCCGAGCCUGCUUCCGAUACGGGCAGACUAGAGGUAUGCAGGGGAGAAUGGAAUUCCUGGUGUAGCGGUGAAAUGCGCAGAUAUCAGGAGGAACACCGGUGGCGAAGGCGGUUCUCUGGAGAGUUCCUGACGCUGAGGCACGAAGGCCAGGGGAGCAAACGGG